GGCGCAGUAGACGAACGGGAAGUCGCCGGGCCUUCAUCCCGGAGAAUGCGGGUUCGAGCCCCGCCUGCGCUA
Molecule: transfer RNA, 72 nt
Filed under: Actinomadura violacea
Lineage: Bacteria; Bacillati; Actinomycetota; Actinomycetes; Streptosporangiales; Thermomonosporaceae
Description: Actinomadura sp. LCR2-06 tRNA-Glu
Rfam family: tRNA
About the family: Transfer RNA (tRNA) molecules are approximately 80 nucleotides in length. Their secondary structure includes four short double-helical elements and three loops (D, anti-codon, and T loops).
Source: RNAcentral